UGGCGGCNGGNUUAACNCAUGCAAGUCGAACGCCCCGCAAGGGGAGUGGCAGACGGGUGAGUAACGCGUGGGAACGUACCUUUCGCUUCGGAAUAUUCCCGGGAAACUGGGAGCAAUGCCGAAUACGCCGUAUUGGGAAAGAUUUAUCGGCGAAAGAUCGGCCCGCGUUAGAUUAGGUAGUUGGCGGUGUAAUGGACCACCAAGCCUACGAUCUAUAGCUGGUCUGAGAGGAUGAUCAGCCACACUGGGACUGAGACACGGCCCAGACUCCUACGGGAGGCAGCAGUGGGGAAUCUUGGACAAUGGGCGCAAGCCUGAUCCAGCCAUGCCGCGUGAGUGAAGAAGGCCUUAGGGUUGUAAAACUC
RNAcentral lists this ribosomal RNA (365 nucleotides) under uncultured bacterium. RNAcentral's name for it is "bacterial SSU rRNA". It matches the Rfam family "Bacterial small subunit ribosomal RNA", at positions 37 to 433 of the family's 1533-position model. The record is from RNAcentral.